RNAcentral lists this ribosomal RNA (323 nucleotides) under Mycobacterium sp. 6BR2. RNAcentral's name for it is "bacterial SSU rRNA". It matches the Rfam family "Bacterial small subunit ribosomal RNA", at positions 115 to 439 of the family's 1533-position model. Lineage: Bacteria; Bacillati; Actinomycetota; Actinomycetes; Mycobacteriales; Mycobacteriaceae. The record is from RNAcentral.
ACGUGGGUGAUCUGCCCUGCACUUUGGGAUAAGCCUGGGAAACUGGGUCUAAUACCGAAUAUGACCGCAUGCUUCAUGGUGUGUGGUGGAAAGCUUUUGCGGUGUGGGAUGGGCCCGCGGCCUAUCAGCUUGUUGGUGGGGUAAUGGCCUACCAAGGCGACGACGGGUAGCCGGCCUGAGAGGGUGACCGGCCACACUGGGACUGAGAUACGGCCCAGACUCCUACGGGAGGCAGCAGUGGGGAAUAUUGCACAAUGGGCGCAAGCCUGAUGCAGCGACGCCGCGUGGGGGAUGACGGCCUUCGGGUUGUAAACCUCUUUCAG